UUUUAUGGAGAGUUUGAUCCUGGCUCAGAGUGAACGCUGGCGGCGUGCCUAAUACAUGCAAGUCGAACGAUGAAGCUUCUAGCUUGCUAGAGUGCUGAUUAGUGGCGCACGGGUGAGUAACGCAUAGGUCAUGUGCCUCUUAGUUUGGGAUAGCCAUUGGAAACGAUGAUUAAUACCAGAUACUCCCUACGGGGGAAAGAUUUAUCGCUAAGAGAUCAGCCUAUGUCCUAUCAGCUUGUUGGUAAGGUAAUGGCUUACCAAGGCUAUGACGGGUAUCCGGCCUGAGAGGGUGAACGGACACACUGGAACUGAGACACGGUCCAGACUCCUACGGGAGGCAGCAGUAGGGAAUAUUGCUCAAUGGGGGAAACCCUGAAGCAGCAACGCCGCGUGGAGGAUGAAGGUUUUAGGAUUGUAAACUCCUUUUGUUAGAGAAGAUAAUGACGGUAUCUAACGAAUAAGCACCGGCUAACUCCGUGCCAGCAGCCGCGGUAAUACGGAGGGUGCAAGCGUUACUCGGAAUCACUGGGCGUAAAGAGCGCGUAGGCGGGAUAGUCAGUCAGGUGUGAAAUCCUAUGGCUUAACCAUAGAACUGCAUUUGAAACUACUAUUCUAGAGUGUGGGAGAGGUAGGUGGAAUUCUUGGUGUAGGGGUAAAAUCCGUAGAGAUCAAGAGGAAUACUCAUUGCGAAGGCGACCUGCUGGAACAUUACUGACGCUGAUUGCGCGAAAGCGUGGGGAGCAAACAGGAUUAGAUACCCUGGUAGUCCACGCCCUAAACGAUGGAUGCUAGUUGUUGGAGGGCUUAGUCUCUCCAGUAAUGCAGCUAACGCAUUAAGCAUCCCGCCUGGGGAGUACGGUCGCAAGAUUAAAACUCAAAGGAAUAGACGGGGACCCGCACAAGCGGUGGAGCAUGUGGUUUAAUUCGAAGAUACACGAAGAACCUUACCUAGGCUUGACAUUGAGAGAAUCCGCUAGAAAUAGUGGAGUGUCUGGCUUGCCAGACCUUGAAAACAGGUGCUGCACGGCUGUCGUCAGCUCGUGUCGUGAGAUGUUGGGUUAAGUCCCGCAACGAGCGCAACCCCCUUUCUUAGUUGCUAACAGGUCAUGCUGAGAACUCUAAGGAUACUGCCUCCGUAAGGAGGAGGAAGGUGGGGACGACGUCAAGUCAUCAUGGCCCUUACGCCUAGGGCUACACACGUGCUACAAUGGGCAUGAAGCUGGAAUCGCUAGUAAUCGCAAAUCAGCCAUGUUGCGGUGAAUACGUUCCCGGGUCUUGUACUCACCGCCCGUCACACCAUGGGAGUUGUGUUUGCCUUAAGUCAGGAUGCUAAAUUGGCUACUGCCCACGGCACACACAGCGACUGGGGUGAAGUCGUAACAAGGUAACCGUAGGUGAACCUGCGGUUGGAUCACCUCCUUUCUAGA
RNAcentral lists this ribosomal RNA (1427 nucleotides) under Helicobacter pylori. Its description in RNAcentral is "bacterial SSU rRNA". It matches the Rfam family "Bacterial small subunit ribosomal RNA". Lineage: Bacteria; Pseudomonadati; Campylobacterota; Epsilonproteobacteria; Campylobacterales; Helicobacteraceae. The record is from RNAcentral.